GAUGAACGCUGGCGGCGUGCCUAAUACAUGCAAGUCGAGCGAACGGACGAGAAGCUUGCUUCUCUGAUGUUAGCGGCGGACGGGUGAGUAACACGUGGAUAACCUACCUAUAAGACUGGGAUAACUUCGGGAAACCGGAGCUAAUACCGGAUAAUAUUUUGAACCGCAUGGUUCAAAAGUGAAAGACGGUCUUGCUGUCACUUAUGGAUGGAUCCGCGCUGCAUUAGCUAGUUGGUAAGGUAACGGCUUACCAAGGCAACGAUGCAUAGCCGACCUGAGGGGGUGAUCGGCCACACUGGAACUGAGACACGGUCCAGACUCCUACGGGAGGCAGCAGUAGGGAAUCUUCCGCAAUGGGCGAAAGCCUGACGGAGCAACGCCGCGUGAGUGAUGAAGGUCUUCGGAUCGUAAAACUCUGUUAUUAGGGAAGAACAUAUGUGUAAGUAACUGUGCACAUCUUGACGGUACCUAAUCAGAAAGCCACGGCUAACUACGUG
This 497-nucleotide ribosomal RNA is filed under the name uncultured bacterium. Its description in RNAcentral is "partial 16S ribosomal RNA". It matches the Rfam family "Bacterial small subunit ribosomal RNA", at positions 28 to 507 of the family's 1533-position model. The record is from RNAcentral.